RNAcentral lists this unclassified non-coding RNA (391 nucleotides) under Bombus terrestris (buff-tailed bumblebee). RNAcentral's name for it is "misc RNA ENSBTSG00005034540.1". Lineage: Eukaryota; Metazoa; Arthropoda; Insecta; Hymenoptera; Apidae. The record is from RNAcentral.
AGAUCCUUCAAAUUGAUUUAGUACUAAACAAUACUCAAUGGCUUCGAGGACUAAGAAAACUAAACAUUAGAAAAGAUGUAGAGUUUUCCUUGAAAUGGGACCCACUUCAACAAUAAAUCUAAAGUAACGAUUAGCCAGGAUUAAUAUAAUAAUUCUUAAAGAUCUUGAUAAUGUUGCAAUCACUCUCGAAAGGACGGACACAGAGACGCGCGAAUCGACCUGGAAUGGCACGUAUAUCCCUUCCCUUCUUCCGGAUGAAGCUCCAAGAGAAUCAGAUUCUUGUAUUUUCUCUGCCGUUGUCAGAAGAAAACUGCCAGCCAUUUAUCGUUUCUCCCGAAGAUUACACCCACGCUCGUGGCCGUCUCAGAACCGCGUGCAAGACGUCACGGAA